UGUGGAAAGGGGGAUUGGACAGCUAAAGCAACGUUUCCAGAUUUACAUAGUGAAAUCCGCCUUAGUCCAGAGAAGACAUGUAAAGUGAUCACUGUGUGCGCUUCUUCACAACCUGUGCCGGCAAAGGAACAUACCAUAGACAGGAGAUUGUGAUGAGUUUGAUGAUGAUGACAAUGAACACAACCAAUUUGUUCAUGAAGUGGAACAAUGUGGACUGGCAUUCAGUGAUCACUUUGUCCAUACACACUUUGGGGGUGAUGGCCAUGCACAAGCAGCAGGCCUGAGGGAGGAGGCAGGUGAUGGGAUUGAGAAAGAGGAAGCUAGAAGAGGAAGAGAUGCAGUAAGAGGAAGAGGUGCUGGAAGAGGAAGAGGUGCUGGAAGAGGAAGAUGACUUGCAUCUUAAGGACCUGGGUUUCCAUUUGGCCUGUAACAUAAAUUGUAGCCUGUUAAAACAUCAUAUAAUUUGGGAACACAGUUUUUGUGUGGGUGUUUGGUUUGCACAUAAUGAUAUUGUAUGUCUUUCAUUAAAUAUCACCAAAAAUGUACAA
Long non-coding RNA from Misgurnus anguillicaudatus (oriental weatherfish), 548 nucleotides. RefSeq lists it as uncharacterized. The record is from RefSeq and is a predicted model, not a curated record. Lineage: Eukaryota; Metazoa; Chordata; Actinopteri; Cypriniformes; Cobitidae.